Lutra lutra (Eurasian river otter) is the source of this 685-nucleotide long non-coding RNA. RefSeq lists it as uncharacterized. The transcript is spliced from 4 exons. The record is from RefSeq and is a predicted model, not a curated record. NCBI's taxonomy places the organism in Eukaryota, Metazoa, Chordata, Mammalia, Carnivora, Mustelidae.
AUCAUGAAAUCCUUAUAGUCAUUUCAUGAGAAAAAUAUUAUUUUUAUCCCCAUUUUACAGAUGAGAAAAACAGAGAUCCAGAAAGUCACAGCGGUUUGCUCAAGCUCACUUCAUUUGCGAAUUAUGGGGCUGAAAUUUUCACCAAGGCUGAGCGUGACAUUUGGGUCUUAAAAGCAUCGUUUAAGGAGACAAAGGAAGGACAUAUGGGCCAAAGGAGCUCCAGGACAUCAAACAUCAAAGGAUGGGGUCCUCCGGAUAACUGAGUUCCCUGAAGUUUGUGUCUCUCAGACUGGUCCACACUGAGCCUCCAGUAAUUCAUCAGUGACAGACAGCUCCAGUUUCCUUCCCGGACACUGGUUCCCAUGGAGGCGUCUGCUUUGACUGACAGCAGCUAUAAUUAUCAGUGGAAGAUUUUAUUCAUGGAGGAAUCUGUAUGUAUAUAAGAUUACCUUUUCAGAUGAGGUUCGGCAAGCCUCUCACCCUCGGGAGCACAUAUGUCUUACCAAGGCCUCUGAUGUCUUCCAGUCCAAUCAAUACAGUGUCGCCAGGGUCAUAGAUUAAUGGGAUGUUCUGUGGACCAUCAAGAUGAUCUAGAUCUCUUUGGAUUGGAUUGUGGCAGAAGGAAGGAGAGUUAGUACAACACAGAGGGAAAAUGGUAAAUGUGUUUUGUUGUCUGUUACAUGGG